AUACGGAGGGUGCAAGCGUUACUCGGAAUCACUGGGCGUAAAGCGCGCGCAGGCGGCUAUUUAAGUUGGAUGUGAAAGCCUACGGCUCAACCGUAGAACUGCAUCCAAAACUAUUUAGCUAGAGUGUGGGAGAGGAAGAUGGAAUUAGUUGUGUAGGGGUAAAAUCCGUAGAGAUAACUAGGAAUACCAAAAGCGAAGGCAAUCUUCUGGAACACUACUGACGCUGCGGCGCGAAAGCGUGGGGAGCAAACAGGAUUAGAUACCCUAGUAGUCC
Molecule: ribosomal RNA, 274 nt
Filed under: uncultured bacterium
Lineage: Bacteria
Description: partial 16S ribosomal RNA
Rfam family: Bacterial small subunit ribosomal RNA
Source: RNAcentral